CCCCCGUGCUCCAGUGGCUUCCCAUCUCAUUUACUCUGCAUCUCAGCGGGACAGGGCAAGGCUGGUGUGAUGCCUGAUCUCAGCUGUCAACUUGAUGAGAUGGAGACCCAUCCGUUGAGAUAUUUUAUGUGUUUGAGUGCUUUGCCUUUGUGGUAUGCAUGGAGUGCCCAAGAAGACCAGAAGAGGGUGUGAGACCCCCCUGCAGCUGGAGCUGUGAGCCUCCCCAGGUCUAGGAAUUCCUGAAUUAAACAGGUGACCCAACCAGCUGCAGGAGCAGUCAAGACGAGGACCUCCAAGAGAAGCUAGACAACUUCCACCGGAACUCAGCCUGGAGUCUGGGGGGAAGGGUUUGCCCAAAUUGUUAAAAGGUCUGGCGCCAUUAAAGUUUGGGGCUUUGAUCAGUGAAUAUUGUCUUAGCCAUACUUCUUUUCGCCCCUCUUCCCUAUUUAUUCCUCAGCUUCUGUUCCAGAAACCCACUUCGUAAUAGCUGCAGGAAGCUAUGGAACCCUACAACCCAGAGGGCUCCUUCAGUCAGGUUGUCGGAGAUGUUUAUCACUGACUGACAAAGGUUUAGGGCCGAUGGGAGGAGUGGAGCUAAGAGUAUUGAUAAGGCGGGCUUCUCCAGGUGGGAGAGAGCAGCACCCAGCAAUUAUGCCAAGAAGGCACACUGAAAAUAAACAACUGCACAUGUGUCUUUUAUUCAUGGAUUCAAGGGAAGCCAGGAUGGAGCUGGUAGUGUGGGGCAGCUAAAGGCUAUACACAACACUAUGACCCUGUCUGGAUGUAGCAGCACACGACUGUAAUUCCAGUGCUCAAAGAGUGGAGGCAAGAGGGUGAGGAGUUCAAGGCCAGCCUCAGCUAGAUAGCAAGUACAAAGGGCAUAGCCUGGGCGUCAGAAGACUAAUAGCUCAAAACACA
Apodemus sylvaticus (European woodmouse) is the source of this 918-nucleotide long non-coding RNA. RefSeq lists it as uncharacterized. The transcript has 3 exons. The record is from RefSeq and is a predicted model, not a curated record. NCBI's taxonomy places the organism in Eukaryota, Metazoa, Chordata, Mammalia, Rodentia, Muridae.